RNAcentral lists this ribosomal RNA (263 nucleotides) under uncultured archaeon. RNAcentral's name for it is "partial 16S ribosomal RNA". It matches the Rfam family "Archaeal small subunit ribosomal RNA", at positions 719 to 982 of the family's 1478-position model. The record is from RNAcentral.
ACACGACUACAUUAGAUACCCGUGUAGUCCUAGCCGUAAACGAUACUCGCUAGGUGUCGGCCACGGUGCGACCGUUGUCGGUGCCGUAGGGAAGCCGUGAAGCGAGCCACCUGGAAGUACGGCCGCAAGGCUGAAACUUAAAGGAAUUGGCGGGGAGCACAACAACGGGUGGAGCUUGCGGUUUAAUUGGAUUCAACGCCGGAAAUCUUACCGGGACCGACAGCAACAUGAAGGCCAAGCUGAAGACUUUGCCGGAUUAGCUG